CCUACGGGAGGCAGCAGUGAGGAAUAUUGGUCAAUGGCCGGAAGGCUGAACCAGCCAAGCCGCGUGAAGGACGAAGGUGCCAAGCAUUGUAAACUUCUUUUGUCAAGGGACAAAAUCAGGCUCGAGAGCCUGACCGAGGGUACUUGAAGAAAAAGCAUCGGCUAACUCCGUGCCAGCAGCCGCGGUAAUACGGAGGAUGCGAGCGUUAUCCGGAUUUAUUGGGUUUAAAGGGUGCGUAGGCGGACUGUUAAGUCAGCGGUAAAAGUCCGGGGCUCAACCCCGGCGAGCCGUUGAAACUGGCUGUCUUGAGAUGUCGAGAGGUAUGCGGAAUGCGUGGUGUAGCGGUGAAAUGCUUAGAUAUCGCGCAGAACUACGAUUGCGAAGGCAGCAUACUGGCGUCGAUCUGACGCUGAGGCACGAAAGCGUGGGUAUCGAACAGGAUUAGAUACCCGAGUAGUC
Molecule: ribosomal RNA, 459 nt
Filed under: uncultured bacterium
Lineage: Bacteria
Description: partial 16S ribosomal RNA
Rfam family: Bacterial small subunit ribosomal RNA
Source: RNAcentral